This 233-nucleotide ribosomal RNA is filed under the name uncultured bacterium. RNAcentral describes it as "partial 16S ribosomal RNA". It matches the Rfam family "Bacterial small subunit ribosomal RNA", at positions 103 to 334 of the family's 1533-position model. The record is from RNAcentral.
CGGGUGAGUAACGCGUGAGGAACCUGCCUCAAAGAGGGGGGAAACAGUUGGAAACGACUGCUAAUACCGCAUAAGCCCACGGCUCGGCAUCGAGCAGAGGGAAAAGGAGUGAUCCGCUUUGAGAUGGCCUCGCGUCCGAUUAGCUAGUUGGUGAGGUAACGGCCCACCAAGGCGACGAUCGGUAGCCGGACUGAGAGGUUGAACGGCCACAUUGGGACUGAGACACGGCCCAG